Molecule: long non-coding RNA, 417 nt
Filed under: Gallus gallus (chicken)
Lineage: Eukaryota; Metazoa; Chordata; Aves; Galliformes; Phasianidae
Description: long non-coding RNA NONGGAT005121
Source: RNAcentral
ACAUCAGGCAUCUGCUGUGGGUGGUGUGGAAGUGUGGCUGCAGCUGAUGGUAUCAGGGCUGCAGCAGCAGAGCUGCAGCUGCUGGAGGAGCUUGAUCACAUGAGAAGUGCCUGGCCAUGGGAUGCCACAGACACCGGAGGCACGAGCAUGGAAAGGGAUUACAGAAGCUUACAGAAAACAGAUUUCUCACUGUCUGCUAAAAAUGUUUCUGAGUCGUCUUCCAGCCCACAAAGUCCAUGAAGUCACUUCUCUGCGCUCGCUCUGUUUCUGUGGUCAGUUUAAAUGAGGUACCUGAGUCGAUCUAACAGCUUGCUGAUGGUACAUGCAGUUCUGCUCCCGUCCUCCUGCAGCUAUUUGUGAGUCUGUGCUGCUUCUGUUGCACCACUUCUGGCAUUCAAUCUGUUCAUUAAACCGGCG